RNAcentral lists this ribosomal RNA (953 nucleotides) under Kocuria sp. RNAcentral describes it as "bacterial SSU rRNA". It matches the Rfam family "Bacterial small subunit ribosomal RNA", at positions 96 to 1058 of the family's 1533-position model. The record is from RNAcentral. Lineage: Bacteria; Bacillati; Actinomycetota; Actinomycetes; Micrococcales; Micrococcaceae.
UGGCGAACGGGUGAGUAAUACGUGAGUAACCUGCCCUGACUCUGGGAUAAGCCUGGGAAACCCGGGUCUAAUACUGGAUACGACCCUUCCACCGCAUGGUGGGGGGUGGAAAGGGUUUACUGGUUUUGGAUGGGCUCACGGCCUAUCAGCUUGUUGGUGGGGUAAUGGCUCACCAAGGCGACGACGGGUAGCCGGCCUGAGAGGGUGACCGGCCACACUGGGACUGAGACACGGCCCAGACUCCUACGGGAGGCAGCAGUGGGGAAUAUUGCACAAUGGGCGAAAGCCUGAUGCAGCGACGCCGCGUGAGGGAUGACGGCCUUCGGGUUGUAAACCUCUUUCAGUAGGGAAGAAGCGCAAGUGACGGUACCUGCAGAAGAAGCGCCGGCUAACUACGUGCCAGCAGCCGCGGUAAUACGUAGGGCGCAAGCGUUGUCCGGAAUUAUUGGGCGUAAAGAGCUCGUAGGCGGUUUGUCGCGUCCGCUGUGAAAGCCCGGGGCUCAACCCCGGGUCGGCAGUGGGUACGGGCAGACUAGAGUGCAGUAGGGGAGACUGGAAUUCCUGGUGUAGCGGUGAAAUGCGCAGAUAUCAGGAGGAACACCGAUGGCGAAGGCAGGUCUCUGGGCUGUUACUGACGCUGAGGAGCGAAAGCAUGGGGAGCGAACAGGAUUAGAUACCCUGGUAGUCCAUGCCGUAAACGUUGGGCACUAGGUGUGGGGGACAUUCCACGUCCUCCGCGCCGUAGCUAACGCAUUAAGUGCCCCGCCUGGGGAGUACGGCCGCAAGGCUAAAACUCAAAGGAAUUGACGGGGGCCCGCACAAGCGGCGGAGCAUGCGGAUUAAUUCGAUGCAACGCGAAGAACCUUACCAAGGCUUGACAUCCACCGGACUACCCACAGAGAUGGGGUUUCCCUUCGGGGCUGGUGGACAGGUGGUGCAUGGUUGUCCGUCAG